UCUGCUUCUGCACAAGAGUCUGAGAAUGUUCUGAACAGUUCCCACUGAGUUCAUGAAACAGUGUAUCCUGACCUGUUCUUAAUGCAUUGCUGACCACAUCUACGGAACGUGAUUGUUGUAUUCCUUCAUGUUAUGUUCUCUCAAUAUCAAUCUUUAGUUAUAAUUUAAUUAGGAGGUUUCAUGCCUGUCUAGUUCCAGCUCCGUUCCCAGUCUUUAAUCUAUCAGUGAUUAAUGUAAUAUGUAAUUCCCGCCUUGUACCUAUGUUAACCAAUCAGCAACAAGAUGC
Podarcis lilfordi (Lilford's wall lizard) is the source of this 286-nucleotide non-coding RNA. Lineage: Eukaryota; Metazoa; Chordata; Lepidosauria; Squamata; Lacertidae. The record is from the annotation of a GenBank genome assembly.